Molecule: ribosomal RNA, 797 nt
Filed under: uncultured bacterium
Lineage: Bacteria
Description: bacterial SSU rRNA
Rfam family: Bacterial small subunit ribosomal RNA
Source: RNAcentral
CCCGGGUUCAACCGGGGUAAGCAUUUGAAAAUGGAAGGGCUUGAGGUAAGGAGAGGAAAAUGGAAAUUCCUAGUGUAGCGGUGAAAAUGCGUGGAUAUUUAGGGAGGAAUACCAAUGGCGAAGGCAGCCCCCUGGGAUAAAUACUGACGCUCAGGCACGAAAGCGUGGGUAGCAAACAGGAUUAGAUACCCUGGUAGUCCACGCCCUAAACGAUGUCAACUAGCUGUUGGGCCGGUUACGGCUUAGUAGCGCAGCUAACGCGUGAAGUUGACCGCCUGGGGACUACGGUCGCAAGACUAAAACUCAAAGGAAUUGACGGGGACCCGCACAAGCGGUGGAUGAUGUGGAUUAAUUCGAUGCAACGCGAAAAACCUUACCUACCCUUGACAUGCCCGGAAGCUUCAAGAGAUUGAAGUGUGCUCGCAAGAGAACCGGAGCACAGGUGCUGCAUGGCUGUCGUCAGCUCGUGUCGUGAGAUGUUGGGUUAAGUCCCGCAACGAGCGCAACCCUUGUCAUUAGUUGCUACGCAAGAGCACUCUAAUGAGACUGCCGGUGACAAACCGGAGGAAGGUGGGGAUGACGUCAAGUCCUCAUGGCCCUUAUGGGUAGGGCUUCACACGUCAUACAAUGGUCAGGACAGCGGGUUGCCAAACCGCGAGGUGGAGCUAAUCUCAAAAACCUGAUCGUAGUCCGGAUUGCAGGCUGCAACUCGCCUGCAUGAAGUCGGAAUCGCUAGUAAUCGCAGAUCAGAAUGCUGCGGUGAAUACGUUCCCGGGUCUUGUACACACCGCCCGUCA